RNAcentral lists this long non-coding RNA (353 nucleotides) under Fukomys damarensis (Damara mole-rat). RNAcentral's name for it is "lncRNA (ENSFDAG00000021965.1)". The record is from RNAcentral. Lineage: Eukaryota; Metazoa; Chordata; Mammalia; Rodentia; Bathyergidae.
CUGCCACCAUCGGGCUCACCAGGUGUCACUAACCUCACACCUCAAGAGCAUGGAGCCAAGCACCAGAACCUCUCAGCUGCAUUUCAACUGAAGUCAAAAAAUCCUUUGCUCCAGAUCACCCAGGAUGUGGGCGGUGGCAAGGCUGGAGCUGAAGUUAUUUGAGCAAGCUUUGUGUUGCCUCACGUCUGGGAUCAAAGCACACAAUCUGACCACAAAGGAAAAGAAGAUAAAUUUUGGAGAAGAAGAGAGCACAUUCCCAGAGCCAGUGGUAGCCAAAGAACCUGUGAAAGUGAGGAACUUUGCCUCAUAGAAAAGAAGGUGAGUCAGUCGUAUCUUCUGAGCAGUAAUAUUAC